This 301-nucleotide ribosomal RNA is filed under the name uncultured bacterium. RNAcentral's name for it is "partial 16S ribosomal RNA". It matches the Rfam family "Bacterial small subunit ribosomal RNA", at positions 509 to 807 of the family's 1533-position model. The record is from RNAcentral.
CAGUAGCCGCGGUAAUACGAAGGGUGCAAGCGUUAAUCGGAAUUACUGGGCGUAAAGCGUGCGUAGGCGGUUUGUUAAGUCUGUUGUGAAAUCCCCGGGCUCAACCUGGGAAUGGCAAUGGAUACUGGCAAGCUAGAGUGUGUCAGAGGAUGGUGGAAUUCCCGGUGUAGCGGUGAAAUGCGUAGAGAUCGGGAGGAACAUCAGUGGCGAAGGUGGCCAUCUGGGACAACACUGACGCUGAGGCACGAAAGCGUGGGGAGCAAACAGGAUUAGAUACCCCCGUAGUCCCUGUCUCUUAUAC